This 267-nucleotide long non-coding RNA is filed under the name Olea europaea (common olive). RNAcentral describes it as "long non-coding RNA (OEUR_LNC000182)". Lineage: Eukaryota; Viridiplantae; Streptophyta; Magnoliopsida; Lamiales; Oleaceae. The record is from RNAcentral.
AAAAAAGGGGAGGGGGGGUUUUAUUUGAACUCUCUCCUCUCAAGUUUGGGUUUGGCGAAAAAGACAUCUUUUGGCUGCUGCAGGGAUUUUAUUUGAACUUCCUCUCUCUCCUCUCAAAUUUGGUUUUGGCGUUGGCAGCUUCCUUUUCUUUUUUUGGCUGCUCGAUUGUUUUAAUAUUUUCGAUCCACACGUUUUGCAUUUUUUUUUCUUUUUUAGAGCGAUUUUUGGUUUUUGAUUUGGGUUUUAGAUGAUUAUGAGAUGUUGCAA